UACGUAGGCAGCAAGCGUUAAUCGGAAUUACUGGGCGUAAAGCGUGCGCAGGCGGCUUUGCAAGACAGAUGUGAAAUCCCCGGGCUUAACCUGGGAACUGCAUUUGUGACUGCAUGGCUGGAGUGCGGCAGAGGGGGAUGGAAUUCCGCGUGUAGCAGUGAAAUGCGUAGAUAUCAGGAGGAAUACCGAUGGCGAAGGCAGGUCUCUGGGCUGACACUGACGCUCAUGCACGAAAGCGUGGGGAGCAAACAGG
RNAcentral lists this ribosomal RNA (253 nucleotides) under uncultured bacterium. RNAcentral describes it as "partial 16S ribosomal RNA". It matches the Rfam family "Bacterial small subunit ribosomal RNA", at positions 524 to 776 of the family's 1533-position model. The record is from RNAcentral.